GGUCAAGUGAUUAAGGGCUGACGGUGGAUACCUACCCNCAAAAAGAGAA
RNAcentral lists this ribosomal RNA (49 nucleotides) under Oscillatoria sp. 3G11. RNAcentral's name for it is "partial 23S ribosomal RNA". The record is from RNAcentral. Lineage: Bacteria; Bacillati; Cyanobacteriota; Cyanophyceae; Oscillatoriales; Oscillatoriaceae.